Molecule: small RNA, 519 nt
Filed under: Pongo abelii (Sumatran orangutan)
Lineage: Eukaryota; Metazoa; Chordata; Mammalia; Primates; Hominidae
Description: retained intron
Source: RNAcentral
AGGGAUUCCGGUUCACAAUGGAUGCUGAUCAAGAGAAAGAUUUGCAGAAAUUUCUUAAAAAUGUGGAUGAAAUCUCCAAUUUAAUUCAGGAGAUGAAUUCUGAUGACCCAGUUGUGCAACAGAAAGCUGUCCUGGAGACAGAAAAGAGACUACUGCUUAUGGAGGAAGACCAGGAGGAGGAUGAAUGCAGGACCACCUUGAACAAGACUAUGAUCAGUCCUCCACAAACUGCUAUGAAGAGUGCAGAAGAAAUAAACUCAGAGGCCUUCUUGGCAUCUGUGGAGAAGGAUGCAAAGGAACGAGCCAAGAGAAGAAGGGAAAACAAAGUCUUGGCGGAUGCCCUAAAAGAAAAAGGGAAUGAAGCAUUUGCUGAAGGCAAUUAUGAAACAGCUAUCCUUUGCUACACUGAGGGUUUGGAGAAGCUGAAGGACAUGAAAGUGCUGUACACCAACCGAGCCCAGGUCAGUGAGGCAAGGAUGUGUCCAUGGGGCUUUCUCAGGGAAUAGUUGCCACUAAACC